AUUGAACGCUGGCGGCAGGCCUAACACAUGCAAGUCGAACGGUAACAGGAAGCAGCUUGCUGCUUCGCUGGCGAGUGGCGGACGGGUGAGUAAUGUCUGGGAAGCUGCCUGAUGGAGGGGGAUAACUACUGGAAACGGUAGCUAAUACCGCAUAAUGUCGCAAGACCAAAGAGGGGGACCUUCGGGCCUCUUGCCAUCGGAUGUGCCCAGAUGGGAUUAGCUUGUUGGUGGGGUAACGGCUCACCAAGGCGACGAUCCCUAGCUGGUCUGAGAGGAUGACCAGCCACACUGGAACUGAGACACGGUCCAGACUCCUACGGGAGGCAGCAGUGGGGAAUAUUGCACAAUGGGCGCAAGCCUGAUGCAGCCAUGCCGCGUGUAUGAAGAAGGCCUUCGGGUUGUAAAGUACUUUCAGCGGGGAGGAAGGGAGUAAAGUUAAUACCUUUGCUCAUUGACGUUACCCGCAGAAGAAGCACCGGCUAACUCCGUG
RNAcentral lists this ribosomal RNA (490 nucleotides) under uncultured bacterium. RNAcentral describes it as "partial 16S ribosomal RNA". It matches the Rfam family "Bacterial small subunit ribosomal RNA", at positions 30 to 507 of the family's 1533-position model. The record is from RNAcentral.